AGAGUGAGACAGAAUUCUGAGCGUUUGAUGCAUUGUCCGGAUCACUAAUCUGACGGAGGAGGACCAGCCGUUAUGACAUCACUGACCACACUCAAUGACAUCAUCAUCAUCAUCAUCAUCGUCACGUGGAAGUCCAGUUGCCACAGAGACGUUGUUGUCAUGGAGAUGCACAUAUCUUGCCUUCGAAGGGUUUUGUGCUAUAGAUGAGGGAAAGGACAAGCAAGUGCACACGCAUUAUUUUUCACAGGAUAAAAGCGUACCGAUGGACUGCAUUAUAGGAGCUGCGCUCGGUCUGAACUGGACUCCUGGUUCUUGUGGGAUUUACCGUACGUGACGUGGUGAAACUCGUGACGCUUGUGAAGGGGUGGAUCUGUCCUGCUUUUGACGGCUGACAGAGACAAACAUUCCGGCACCGGUUCAAGGAAACGCAGGCAUGAGUGCAAAACUCCAUCAACAGAACAAUCGCUGUCAUUUUUAAAAAAAAGUCUUUAAAAAAUAAAAAUGCGCAGAAAAGAAUCGCCAUAUGAAAACAUGUACUAGAAAACUGUCAAUAUGCUUCUGACUCAUGAAUACAGUUAUACAAUGGAG
Long non-coding RNA from Sinocyclocheilus grahami, 588 nucleotides. RefSeq lists it as uncharacterized. The transcript has 2 exons. NCBI's taxonomy places the organism in Eukaryota, Metazoa, Chordata, Actinopteri, Cypriniformes, Cyprinidae. The record is from RefSeq and is a predicted model, not a curated record.